RNAcentral lists this ribosomal RNA (426 nucleotides) under uncultured bacterium. RNAcentral's name for it is "bacterial SSU rRNA". It matches the Rfam family "Bacterial small subunit ribosomal RNA", at positions 359 to 776 of the family's 1533-position model. The record is from RNAcentral.
GAAUCUUGCACAAUGGGGGAAACCCUGACGCAGCGACGCCGCGUGGGUGAUGAAGGCCUUCGGGUCGUAAAGCCCUGUCGGAGGGGAAGAAGGAUUGUCGGGCGAAUAGUCCGAUGGUUUGACGGUACCCUUAGAGGAAGCACCGGCUAACCCCGUUCCAGCAGCCGCGGUAAUACGGAGGGUGCUAGCGUUGCUCGGAAUCACUGGGCGUAAAGCGCGUGUAGGCGGUUUCGUGUGUCUGACGUGAAAGCCCCGGGCUCACCCCGGGAAGUGCGUUGGAAACUGCGGAACUAGAGUCCCGGAGAGGGAGGUGGAAUUCCAGGUGUAGCGGUGAAAUGCGUAGAUAUCUGGAAGAACACCGGUGGCGAAGGCGGCCUCCUGGACGGUGACUGACGCUGAGACGCGAAAGCGUGGGGAGCAAACAGG